RNAcentral lists this ribosomal RNA (467 nucleotides) under uncultured Desulfobacterium sp. Its description in RNAcentral is "bacterial SSU rRNA". It matches the Rfam family "Bacterial small subunit ribosomal RNA", at positions 920 to 1382 of the family's 1533-position model. The record is from RNAcentral. Lineage: Bacteria; Pseudomonadati; Thermodesulfobacteriota; Desulfobacteria; Desulfobacterales; Desulfobacteriaceae.
CCCGCACAAGCGGUGGAGCAUGUGGUUUAAUUCGACGCAACGCGAAGAAACCUUACCUGGGUUUGACAUCUCCGGAAUCUCUAUGAAAGUAGAGAGUGCCCUUCGGGGGAGCCGGAAAGACAGGUGCUGCAUGGCUGUCGUCAGCUCGUGUCGUGAGAUGUUGGGUUAAGUCCCGCAACGAGCGCAACCCUAUCUUUAGUUACCAGCGAUUCGGUCGGGGACUCUAAAGAUACUGCCCCGGUUAACGGGGAGGAAGGUGGGGAUGACGUCAAGUCCUCAUGGCCUUUAUGCCCAGGGCUACACACGUGCUACAAUGGGCGGUACAAAGGGUAGCGAUCCCGCGAGGAGGAGCCAAUCCCAAAAAACCGUCCCAAGUUCGGAUUGAAGUCUGCAACUCGACUUCAUGAAGUUGGAAUCGCUAGUAAUCGCGGACCAGCAUGCCCGCGGUCGAAUACGUUCCGGGCCUU